CCUACGGGAGGCAGCAGUGAGGAAUUUUCUGCAAUGGGCGAAAGCCUGACAGAGCAAUACCGCGUGAGGGAUGAAGGCCUACGGGUUGUAAACCUCUUUUCUCAAGGAGGAAGAACUGACGUUACUUGAGGAAUAAGCAUCGGCUAACCCUGUGCCAGCAGCCGCGGUAAUACAGGGGAUGCAAGUGUUAUCCGGAAUUAUUGGGCGUAAAGCGUCUGCAGGUUGAUAUUUAAGUCUUUUGUUAAAUCUUUGGGCUUAACCCAAAAACUGCAAAAGAAACUAUUUAUCUUGAGUAUGGUAGAGGUAAAGGGAAUUUCCAGUGGAGCGGUGAAAUGCGUAGAUAUUGGAAAGAACACCAACAGCGAAGGCACUUUACUGGGCCAGUACUGACACUCAGAGACGAAAGCUAGGGGAGCAAACGGGAUUAGAUACCCCGGUAGUCCUAGCUGUAAACGAUGGAUACUAGAUGUUGUGUGCUUUCGGGCGUGCAGUGUCGUAGCUAACGCGUUAAGUAUCCCGCCUGGGAAGUAUGCUCGCAAGAGUGAAACUCAAAUGAAUUGAGGCUGAGACGNGCGACGACGACGACGAGGAGGAGG
Molecule: ribosomal RNA, 596 nt
Filed under: uncultured bacterium
Lineage: Bacteria
Description: bacterial SSU rRNA
Rfam family: Bacterial small subunit ribosomal RNA
Source: RNAcentral